RNAcentral lists this ribosomal RNA (417 nucleotides) under uncultured Glomeromycotina. RNAcentral describes it as "SSU rRNA". It matches the Rfam family "Eukaryotic small subunit ribosomal RNA", at positions 674 to 1092 of the family's 1831-position model. Lineage: Eukaryota; Fungi; Glomeromycota. The record is from RNAcentral.
GUACGUACUAGUUUAUUGGUUUCUCUCUUCUGACGAACCAUGAUGUCAUUAAUUUGGUGUCAUGUGGAAUCAGAACUGUUACUUUGAAAAAAUUAGAGUGUUUAAAGCAGGCUCACGCUUGAAUACAUUAGCAUGGAAUAAUGAAAUAGGACGUUUGAUUCUAUUUUGUUGGUUUCUAGGAUUGACGUAAUGAUUAAUAGGGAUAGUUGGGGGCAUUAGUAUUCAAUUGUCAGAGGUGAAAUUCUUGGAUUUAUUGAAGACUAACUACUGCGAAAGCAUUUGCCAAGGAUGUUUUCAUUAAUCAAGAACGAAAGUUAGGGGAUCGAAGACGAUCAGAUACCGUCGUAGUCUUAACCAUAAACUAUGCCGACUAGGGAUCGGAUGAUGUUAAUUUAAUGACUCAUUCGGCGCCUUACG